GAUCUGGACGGGUGGUCCUUCAUUGAAGCGUACUACUUGGCUGGAUCUCACCUUCUGGUGAGCCAGUAUGCUCUUUACUGGGUGUGCUGGGGAACCAGGACUUUUACUUUGAAAAAAUUAGAGUGUUUAAAGCAGGCCUAUGCUUGAAUACAUUAGCAUGGAAUAAUAGAAUAGGACUUCAGUUCUAUUUUGUUGGUUUCUAGGACCGAAGUA
RNAcentral lists this ribosomal RNA (213 nucleotides) under uncultured fungus. RNAcentral's name for it is "partial small subunit ribosomal RNA". The stretch from base 88 to 213 matches the Rfam family "Eukaryotic small subunit ribosomal RNA", at positions 736 to 864 of the family's 1831-position model. The record is from RNAcentral. Lineage: Eukaryota; Fungi.